This 1430-nucleotide long non-coding RNA is filed under the name Rhagoletis pomonella (apple maggot). Its description in RNAcentral is "uncharacterized LOC118753523, transcript variant X1". The record is from RNAcentral. Lineage: Eukaryota; Metazoa; Arthropoda; Insecta; Diptera; Tephritidae.
UUGAAUCAGUUGAUUACAAAAGCCGCUUCAACGUAGAUCAGGUCCUAUAACUUCCAAACGCCUUGCACUCCUCCCCAAAGUAUAUUUCAUUUACAUUACUAAAGCGUUGGCAGAACUAUAUAAAUUUAAACCAAUAAUAGUUUUUAUACUAUCUUAAGCCUCUUUAAAAAGAUAAGAAUAUACAAGCCUAGUUUAAUUACACUAUAACAAUAAAAAAAAACUUAGACAUUUCUUAAGUUUGCAGAAUAUCAGCGAUUACUUUUAAGAAUUUAAUAAUUCUUAUCAAUGGUUGAAAGCUUAACUAUACAACUAUAAUACUCAUGUAAAUCACAAAGAAAAUAUAAUAUGUAGCAAUAAAGAUAACGCCAACGGAUAUUGAUAAGUAUUCGCUAGCAGGUAGUUGUUUAUGACUACAAAAACCCAUACCCAAAGAAAGGAUCUGUAUAGCAAUGCUCAAGUAGAGCGAACAACUCACCAACUGCAUGGCCUGAUUGUCGAUAAAUUGCUUUUGUGAAAUAAUUUCGUAAGCGAUUUAUAUUUAUACAUUUUAUAAUGUUUCCUUCUACCGAAUGCCUUAACCGCAAAUAAUCAGUCAGGCAGACAUCAGAAAAGCAAGUAAUAGGCACUUUCGAGUCCAACGAGUCAUUGAUAGAGCUCAUAUUAAGUUGGCAAAAUGGAAACAAUACAGUCACGCAGUAACACCCUCCAGCCGAGCUGUCACCGAAAAGGAAUCUUGCCGCACACAAAGCGCCUUGGGCGGGUGUAAUGGCCUCUACGUAUAUAAAUGUACACGGCAGCAAGGCGUAACCAAAAUUUUGCUAUCCUUAACAAGUGAAAAGCAACACCUGGCCCUGCGUUUUUACCCCAACUCAAACAUUUGGCUGACAAUCCAUGCGAGAGGAUGAUUUCGACCAACUGACCAAAUUUUGGCUAGGAAAAUACAACACCACCUUCCUCGAAUGCUAGUUGGAAGCUAAAUGAAGGCAAAGGUCGCAUUACAUACACCAAACUGGCAAAUACCAGCGUCCACUAGCUGUACAAUAUGGUUUCAAAACGAAAACUAACUGGGUGCUAACUUUGGUUACGAGUAUUGUGCAAUACAUUCCAGUUUGAUGAAUACUUACACUCGAAAUUCUUGCAGUACAUAUAUUGGUAUAUGCGAUUUAUUGCAUUAAAGGCGCUAACAAUUUCAAUAACUUAUAGAUCGGUUUGGUUUAGGUAUGUAUUUCUUUCAUUAACAAGUUGCACUAUAGAUUUUAAGUUUUGCUGUGCUCAUAAACUAGAUUUUUUUUUCCAAUAAUUAAACGCAGCGUGACACUUUUAACACAAACACGUGCCGCACAUUUCGUUGAAAUGUUUUCAUGAAAUUUUUAACUUUAUUUUUUCACUAUUUUAGUUCAGAAAAGUACAAAAUUUUCACAAUUUUCAGC